GACGUAGGGGGCCAGCGUUGUUCGGAAUUACUGGGUGUAAAGGGUUCGUAGGCGGUGCGGCAAGUUGGGAGUGAAAUCUCUGGGCUUAACCCAGAGGCUGCUUCCAAAACUGCUGUGCUUGAGUGUGGGAGAGGCGCGUGGAAUUGCAGGUGUAGCGGUGAAAUGCGUAGAUAUCUGCAGGAACACCCGUGGCGAAGGCGGCUCACUGGACUGGUAUUGACGCUGAGGUGCGAAAGCGUGGGGAGCAAACAGG
Molecule: ribosomal RNA, 253 nt
Filed under: uncultured bacterium
Lineage: Bacteria
Description: partial 16S ribosomal RNA
Rfam family: Bacterial small subunit ribosomal RNA
Source: RNAcentral